GUGAGUUCCAAGGCUUCUGUGCACACCACAGCAUUUUAAGCAUAUGAAAACACCAAUAUUGGUCGACGCCCAUUUAGGGUCUGGAGAACCACAAUCAGCACAUACACGAUUAUCUUUUUGAAGCAAAAGGUCUUUCAAUCUUCUCUUGCUUGAAGUUGGUCUUGUAAGUGCAGACGGGCGCUGGCUCAUUGCUCUCUACUAAGCUGCUCUCCUUCAACUUGACCACCUAAUUUGUGGCAAGAAUAUUGAUUUGGA
Molecule: unclassified non-coding RNA, 255 nt
Filed under: Hevea brasiliensis (rubber tree)
Lineage: Eukaryota; Viridiplantae; Streptophyta; Magnoliopsida; Malpighiales; Euphorbiaceae
Source: RNAcentral